UGAGGAAUAUUGGUCAAUGGGGGCAACCCUGAACCAGCCAAGUCGCGUGAAGGAUGAAGGUCUUAUGGAUUGUAAACUUCUUUUACACGGGAAUAAAGCGGGGGACGUGUCCCUCUUUGCAUGUACCGUGUGAAUAAGGAUCGGCUAACUCCGUGCCAGCAGCCGCGGUAAUACGGAGGAUCCGAGCGUUAUCCGGAUUUAUUGGGUUUAAAGGGUGCGCAGGCGGGAUGUUAAGUCGGCGGUGAAAUUUUGCAGCUCAACUGUAAAAGUGCCUUCGAUACUGGCUUCCUUGAGUGUAGAUGAAGUAGGCGGAAUUUGUGGUGUAGCGGUGAAAUGCUUAGAUAUCACGAGGAACUCCGAUUGCGCAGGCAGCUUACUAAACUACAACUGACGCUCAUGCACGAAGGCGUGGGGAUCAAACA
This 422-nucleotide ribosomal RNA is filed under the name uncultured bacterium. Its description in RNAcentral is "bacterial SSU rRNA". It matches the Rfam family "Bacterial small subunit ribosomal RNA", at positions 355 to 774 of the family's 1533-position model. The record is from RNAcentral.